AAGAAAAUGCUAAUAUGUCUAUGGCUCAAGUAUGUACUGGCAUUUCCAUGACAAAAACCGAUUGAAGAGCCAACCCUUCCCGUUUUUGUUUUCGCUUCCAUCACAGACUCCAAGCUGAGUCACAGCUCAUGGGGAUUGUGUGGAGCCAAAGGGAGGCUUGUGGAUGAGAAGGAGGGGCAAACCCAAUCGGCAAUCGACACUUGCCCUUGAACGCCAGCCAGUAGAAGAGCCUGAAGCUCAAAUGAGCCAUGUUGGCAGAGCUGCCAAAAUGCAGUCAACGGCGACGCCGCCAGACGUCGGCGCUCAUCCAAUGUCGUCAGCAGCAGCAACGCUAGCACCAUCAGCAACAUUAGGAGUAGCAGCAACACGGCGGCAAUUUCGAAAAUUAAGUGAUUUAAAACAUCACACUUAUGUAUGUAUGCCAAAUUACAUGCUUAACUCAUAUACCUGAAGAACCGAAAGUUGUUGAAUACCAAAUACACUACCAGGAAUAAAAAUGUAUCGCAGCAACUAAAUAGGAGCAGCAACAUUAUUGUAAGGUAGCAGCAACAUGGUUCCUUCAGGAGGAAGAGCUCUGAUGUUACAUAUUGGCAAGCAGCUUUAGCAACAAUGUCCAAGCAACUACGACUGCAACAUGAGGAAAGAAAGAAAGACAGCACUACACUAGCAACAUCCGAACACAGCAACAACUCUGCAGCAGCAACAGCAGCGGCUGCCCUCGAAUUUUGGGGCUUGGCUGCCGUCUCUUUCGCUCCCCGCCCGCUCCUACGCCCCUUGUCCCGCACUCUUGCCAAAUGAACAACUGUCGCUGUAGUCGCUGAUUGUUGUUCUUGUGGCUCAGCAUAAAUUCGCAAAGUAUGCGAAAUUUAUUAGGGUCUGUUUCGCAUGUGCCGAUGUUGUUUUUGCUGUCGUGGCUCGUCUAAUUUAAAGUUCACAGGCAAACACACACACGCACACACACAUACACUUGGCAGACCCAUUUGCACACACACUCGCCCACCGAGAACAACUCUCUUGUGUAAGUGAGUGUGGCACACACAUCGAUAAAAAACCAGAAAUAGCGAAUAAAGGCAACACA
This 1078-nucleotide small RNA is filed under the name Drosophila yakuba. RNAcentral describes it as "GE28196". Lineage: Eukaryota; Metazoa; Arthropoda; Insecta; Diptera; Drosophilidae. The record is from RNAcentral.